This 253-nucleotide ribosomal RNA is filed under the name uncultured bacterium. RNAcentral's name for it is "partial 16S ribosomal RNA". It matches the Rfam family "Bacterial small subunit ribosomal RNA", at positions 524 to 776 of the family's 1533-position model. The record is from RNAcentral.
AACGUAGGAGACAAACGUUAUCCGGAGUUACUGGGCGUAAAGGGCGUGUAGGUGGUUGUGUAAGUCUGGCGUGAAAUUUUUCGGCUUAACCGGGAAAGGUCGUCGGAUACUGCAGAACUAGAGGACGGUAGAGGCGUGUGGAAUUCCGGGUGUAGUGGUGAAAUGCGUAGAGAUCCGGAGGAACACCAGUGGCGAAGGCGACACGCUGGGCCGUACCUGACACUGAUGCGCGACAGCAUGGGGAGCAAACAGG